GUAGCUGGUGGACAACUGGAAAAAUGGCCUAAAAGAUUACACGCAAUACCACCUAGGAUCAGCAGGGGAACUGUAAACGGGGUCACGGCUGACACUUUCAAGAAGGAUUCACAACUAUGGAAAAGAAGAAUGUCUUACUACAAGACGGUGAAUAAUCAAUUAGGCCAACCAGGGAGAUACAGAAAUCUACUAGAUAUAAAUGCCAACCUUGGUGGUUUUGCUGCCAAUUUGGUCGAUGACCCUGUUUGGGUGAUGAAUAUAGUUCCUGUUGAAGCUAAGGUCAAUACACUUGGUGUUAUUUAUGAACGCGGAAAAUGCCAACCUUGGUGGUUUUGCUGCCAGUUUGGUUGAUGACCCUGUUUGGGUGAUGAAUAUUGUUCCUGUUGAAGCUAAAGUCAAUACACUUGGUGUUAUUUAUGAACGCGGAUUAAUUGGAACAUAUCAAAGCUGGUAAUUUCACUACACAAACUUCUUUAUGCCUCAAUCCCAAGUUAGUGGGGUUCACUGAUCAGAUCGCUCCAUUUCACGAUGAUUUAUUCAAUUUUACAUUACCUUUUCUUGUUACAUUUACGCAUUAGUAUAUCUUUGAUUUAAAGUGAGC
RNAcentral lists this long non-coding RNA (601 nucleotides) under Nicotiana benthamiana. RNAcentral describes it as "long non-coding RNA (NBEN_LNC007580)". Lineage: Eukaryota; Viridiplantae; Streptophyta; Magnoliopsida; Solanales; Solanaceae. The record is from RNAcentral.